UGGUUCAGUAGGGGACUACAUGGGGAACUGACCAACACAUACAUUUCUCCCAUCAUGCACUGCUGGACGAGAGGGAUACUCCCACUGGAAUAUACAGUUAAUGGGAUUAUCCCUCCGUGCAGCAGAACUUACAUUCUACAUUAAAAUACAUAAUUUUAAUAAUAUUCACUUGUUUUACACGAAUGGACGUUCGGUAGAUAGCUG
This is a non-coding RNA of Pelobates cultripes (western spadefoot toad), 204 nucleotides long. Lineage: Eukaryota; Metazoa; Chordata; Amphibia; Anura; Pelobatidae. The record is from the annotation of a GenBank genome assembly.